RNAcentral lists this ribosomal RNA (1116 nucleotides) under Escherichia coli. RNAcentral describes it as "partial 23S ribosomal RNA". It matches the Rfam family "Bacterial large subunit ribosomal RNA", at positions 165 to 1319 of the family's 2925-position model. Lineage: Bacteria; Pseudomonadati; Pseudomonadota; Gammaproteobacteria; Enterobacterales; Enterobacteriaceae. The record is from RNAcentral.
CAUAGGUUAAUGAGGCGAACCGGGGGAACUGAAACAUCUAAGUACCCCGAGGAAAAGAAAUCAACCGAGAUUCCCCCAGUAGCGGCGAGCGAACGGGGAGCAGCCCAGAGCCUGAAUCAGUGUGUGUGUUAGUGGAAGCGUCUGGAAAGGCGCGCGAUACAGGGUGACAGCCCCGUACACAAAAAUGCACAUACUGUGAGCUCGAUGAGUAGGGCGGGACACGUGGUAUCCUGUCUGAAUAUGGGGGGACCAUCCUCCAAGGCUAAAUACUCCUGACUGACCGAUAGUGAACCAGUACCGUGAGGGAAAGGCGAAAAGAACCCCGGCGAGGGGAGUGAAAAAGAACCUGAAACCGUGUACGUACAAGCAGUGGGAGCACGCUUAGGCGUGUGACUGCGUACCUUUUGUAUAAUGGGUCAGCGACUUAUAUUCUGUAGCAAGGUUAACCGAAUAGGGGAGCCGAAGGGAAACCGAGUCUUAACUGGGCGUUAAGUUGCAGGGUAUAGACCCGAAACCCGGUGAUCUAGCCAUGGGCAGGUUGAAGGUUGGGUAACACUAACUGGAGGACCGAACCGACUAAUGUUGAAAAAUUAGCGGAUGACUUGUGGCUGGGGGUGAAAGGCCAAUCAAACCGGGAGAUAGCUGGUUCUCCCCGAAAGCUAUUUAGGUAGCGCCUCGUGAAUUCAUCUCCGGGGGUAGAGCACUGUUUCGGCAAGGGGGUCAUCCCGACUUACCAACCCGAUGCAAACUGCGAAUACCGGAGAAUGUUAUCACGGGAGACACACGGCGGGUGCUAACGUCCGUCGUGAAGAGGGAAACAACCCAGACCGCCAGCUAAGGUCCCAAAGUCAUGGUUAAGUGGGAAACGAUGUGGGAAGGCCCAGACAGCCAGGAUGUUGGCUUAGAAGCAGCCAUCAUUUAAAGAAAGCGUAAUAGCUCACUGGUCGAGUCGGCCUGCGCGGAAGAUGUAACGGGGCUAAACCAUGCACCGAAGCUGCGGCAGCGACGCUGAUGCGUUGUUGGGUAGGGGAGCGUUCUGUAAGCCUGUGAAGGUGUGCUGUGAGGCAUGCUGGAGGUAUCAGAAGUGCGAAUGCUGACAUAAGUAACGAUAAAGCG